This 375-nucleotide unclassified non-coding RNA is filed under the name Hevea brasiliensis (rubber tree). The record is from RNAcentral. Lineage: Eukaryota; Viridiplantae; Streptophyta; Magnoliopsida; Malpighiales; Euphorbiaceae.
AUUUCUUCUUCUUCUUGAUUUUUUGAAAGGAGGAACAAACAGAGUGAUGAAGAGAAAACGAAGACGAUUAAAGAAAUCGGGUGCCAUUUUCUUGCCUACGAAGCAAUUUCAGGUUGAUUAAGGCAUUCAGUUAAGAAAUGUGUUUCUUGGUGAUCAUUUGAAAGAAGAAAAAAAGAAAAAAUGGCUUCCAAUGCAACAGAAGCAUCGUGUCCCACACCCAUGAAAGCUACAUCCAACGGGAUCUUCCAGGGGGAUAAUCCUAUUGAUUUUGCACUGCCACUUGCCAUCAUACAGAUUGUUCUAGUGGUUGUGCUCACUCGUAUUCUUGCUUUUCUUCUAAGGCCACUGCGACAGCCGCGUGUCAUCGCUGAGAUU